Molecule: ribosomal RNA, 440 nt
Filed under: uncultured bacterium
Lineage: Bacteria
Description: partial 16S ribosomal RNA
Rfam family: Bacterial small subunit ribosomal RNA
Source: RNAcentral
CCUACGGGUGGCAGCAGUGGGGAAUAUUGCACAAUGGGGGAAACCCUGAUGCAGCGACGCCGCGUGAGUGAAGAAGUAUUUCGGUAUGUAAAGCGCUAUCAGAAGGGAAGAUAAUGACGGUAACUGACUAAGAAGCCCCGGCUAACUACGUGCCAGCAGCCGCGGUAAUACGUAGGGGGCGAGCGGUAUCCGGAUUCACUGGGUGUAAAGGGAGCGUAGACGGCCAUGCAAGCCAGGGGUGAAAGCCCGGGGCCCAACCCCGGGACUGCCCUUGGAACUGCAUGGCUGGAGUGAGGGAGGGGCAGGCGGAAUUCCUGGUGAAGCGGUGAAAUGCGUAGAUAUCAGGAGGAACACCGGCGGCGAAGGCAGCCUGCUGGACUGAGACUGACGUUGAGGCUCGAAAGCGUGGGGAGCGAACAGGAUUAGAUACCCUUGUAGUC